Molecule: ribosomal RNA, 1078 nt
Filed under: Stigonema informe CBFS A-033
Lineage: Bacteria; Bacillati; Cyanobacteriota; Cyanophyceae; Nostocales; Stigonemataceae
Description: bacterial SSU rRNA
Rfam family: Bacterial small subunit ribosomal RNA
Source: RNAcentral
CGAAAGCCUGGCGGAGCAAUACCGCGUGAGGGAGGAAGGCUCUUGGGUUGUAAACCUCUUUUCUCAGGGAAGAACAAAAUGACGGUAUCUGAGGAAUCAGCAUCGGCUAACUCCGUGCCAGCAGCCGCGGUAAUACGGAGGAUGCAAGCGUUAUCCGGAAUGAUUGGGCGUAAAGCGUCCGCAGGUGGCAUUGAAAGUCUGCUGUCAAAGAGUCUGGCUCAACCAGAUAAAGGCAGUGGAAACUACAAAGCUAGAGUACGUUCGGGGCAGAGGGAAUUCCUGGUGUAGCGGUGAAAUGCGUAGAGAUCAGGAAGAACACCGGUGGCGAAAGCGCUCUGCUAGGCCGUAACUGACACUGAGGGACGAAAGCUAGGGGAGCGAAUGGGAUUAGAUACCCCAGUAGUCCUAGCCGUAAACGAUGGAUACUAGGUGUUGCUUGUAUCGACCCGAGCAGUACCGUAGCUAACGCGUUGAGUAUCCCGCCUGGGGAGUACGCAGGCAACUGUGAAACUCAAAGGAAUUGACGGGGGCCCGCACAAGCGGUGGAGUAUGUGGUUUAAUUCAAUGCAACGCGAAGAACCUUACCAGGGCUUGACAUGUCGCGAAUCCUUGUGAAAGCAGGGAGUGCCCUCGGGAGCGCGAACACAGGUGGUGCAUGGCUGUCGUCAGCUCGUGUCGUGAGAUGUUGGGUUAAGUCCCGCAACGAGCGCAACCCUCGUUUUUAGUUGCCAUCAUUAAGUUGGGCACUCUAGAGAGACUGCCGGUGACAAACCGGAGGAAGGUGGGGAUGACGUCAAGUCAGCAUGCCCCUUACGUCCUGGGCUACACACGUACUACAAUGCUACGAACAGAGGGCAGCUAACCAGCGAUGGCAAGCUAAUCCCGGAAAUCGUAGCUCAGUUCAGAUCGCAGGCUGCAACUCGCCUGCGUGAAGUUGGAAUCGCUAGUAAUUGCAGGUCAGCAUACUGCAGUGAAUUCGUUCCCGGGCCUUGUACACACCGCCCGUCACACCAUGGAAGCUGGUAGUGCCCGAAGUCAUUACCCCAACCUUUCGGGGAGGGGGAUGCCUAAGGCAGGA